Long non-coding RNA from Bos taurus (domestic cattle), 441 nucleotides. The record is from Ensembl. NCBI's taxonomy places the organism in Eukaryota, Metazoa, Chordata, Mammalia, Artiodactyla, Bovidae.
CAGGGCCGCCUGGCCUGGGCCCGAGGCUCCAGCUCACCACUGCUGGCCCGUCUUCCACCGCUCCUCUCCCCACGCCCCACCUAACUGCACGCUCUCUCCAUCUCCCCGGCCGGCCCCCUCCUUGCUCCUUCCCGUCAGCCUCUGCCUGCCCAGACGUCAUCUGCAGAGUGUGUGCCCAGUGGCUCAGUCGUGUCCGGCUCUCUGUGACCCCAUGGACUGUAACCCUCCAGGCUCCUCUGUCCAUGGAAUUCUCCAGGCAAGAGUACUGGAGUGGGCAGCCGUUCCCUUCUCCAGGGGCUCUUCCCGACCCAGGGAUCGAACCCGCGUCUCUUAUAUCGCCGGCAUCGGCAGGCCCCUGGCACCCUUGCACCUGACAGACCUUCUAGCCCCUGCCACCCUCCGUCUGUCUGGGGAACACCUGGAUGCCGACAGACUCCUCCC